RNAcentral lists this ribosomal RNA (255 nucleotides) under uncultured bacterium. Its description in RNAcentral is "partial 16S ribosomal RNA". It matches the Rfam family "Bacterial small subunit ribosomal RNA", at positions 524 to 776 of the family's 1533-position model. The record is from RNAcentral.
UACGUAGGUGGCAAGCGUUGUCCGGAUUUACUGGGCGUAAAGGAUGCGUAGGCGGACAUUUUAAGUCAGAUGUGAAAUACCCGAGCUUAACUUGGGUGCCUGCAUUUGAAACUGGGUGUCUAGAGUGCAGGAGAGGUAAGUGGAAUUCCUAGUGUAGCGGUGAAAUGCGUAGAGAUUAGGAAGAACACCAGUGGCGAAGGCGACUUACUGGACUGUAACUGACGCUGAGGCAUGAAAGCGUGGGGAGCAAACAGG